This 501-nucleotide ribosomal RNA is filed under the name uncultured bacterium. Its description in RNAcentral is "partial 16S ribosomal RNA". It matches the Rfam family "Bacterial small subunit ribosomal RNA", at positions 28 to 523 of the family's 1533-position model. The record is from RNAcentral.
GAUGAACGCUGGCGGCGUGUCUAAGGCAUGCAAGUCGAGCGGGGGAAGGUAGCUUGCUACCGGACCUAGCGGCGGACGGGUGAGUAAUGCUUAGGAAUCUGCCUAUUAGUGGGGGACAACAUCUCGAAAGGGAUGCUAAUACCGCAUACGUCCUACGGGAGAAAGCAGGGGAUCUUCGGACCUUGCGCUAAUAGAUGAGCCUAAGUCGGAUUAGCUAGUUGGUGGGGUAAAGGCCUACCAAGGCGACGAUCUGUAGCGGGUCUGAGAGGAUGAUCCGCCACACUGGGACUGAGACACGGCCCAGACUCCUACGGGAGGCAGCAGUGGGGAAUAUUGGACAAUGGGGGGAACCCUGAUCCAGCCAUGCCGCGUGUGUGAAGAAGGCCUUAUGGUUGUAAAGCACUUUAAGCGAGGAGGAGGCUACUCUAGUUAAUACCUAGGGAUAGUGGACGUUACUCGCAGAAUAAGCACCGGCUAACUCUGUGCCAGCCGCCGCCGUAA